Molecule: ribosomal RNA, 700 nt
Filed under: Microbacterium sp.
Lineage: Bacteria; Bacillati; Actinomycetota; Actinomycetes; Micrococcales; Microbacteriaceae
Description: bacterial SSU rRNA
Rfam family: Bacterial small subunit ribosomal RNA
Source: RNAcentral
CGGUGAAGGAGAGCUUGCUCUCCGGAUCAGUGGCGAACGGGUGAGUAACACGUGAGCAACCUGCCCCGGACUCUGGGAUAACAGCUGGAAACAGCUGCUAAUACCGGAUACGAGCUGCGAAGGCAUCUUCAGCAGCUGGAAAGAACUUCGGUCCGGGAUGGGCUCGCGGCCUAUCAGCUAGUUGGUGAGGUAACGGCUCACCAAGGCGUCGACGGGUAGCCGGCCUGAGAGGGUGACCGGCCACACUGGGACUGAGACACGGCCCAGACUCCUACGGGAGGCAGCAGUGGGGAAUAUUGCACAAUGGGCGAAAGCCUGAUGCAGCAACGCCGCGUGAGGGAUGACGGCCUUCGGGUUGUAAACCUCUUUUAGCAGGGAAGAAGCGAAAGUGACGGUACCUGCAGAAAAAGCGCCGGCUAACUACGUGCCAGCAGCCGCGGUAAUACGUAGGGCGCAAGCGUUAUCCGGAAUUAUUGGGCGUAAAGAGCUCGUAGGCGGUCUGUCGCGUCUGCUGUGAAAACCCGAGGCUCAACCUCGGGCCUGCAGUGGGUACGGGCAGACUAGAGUGCGGUAGGGGAGAUUGGAAUUCCUGGUGUAGCGGUGGAAUGCGCAGAUAUCAGGAGGAACACCGAUGGCGAAGGCAGAUCUCUGGGCCGUAACUGACGCUGAGGAGCGAAAGGGUGGGGAGCAAACAGGCUUA